RNAcentral lists this long non-coding RNA (549 nucleotides) under Pan troglodytes (chimpanzee). RNAcentral's name for it is "long non-coding RNA NONPTRT000508". Lineage: Eukaryota; Metazoa; Chordata; Mammalia; Primates; Hominidae. The record is from RNAcentral.
GGUAAUAGCAAGUACACAGAAAAACACAGACCAUUAUAAUACUGUAGUUAUGGUGUGUAAACUACUCAUAUUUUGAUUAGAAAGACUAAGCAAUGAACCUAUCAAAAAUAAUAAUGAAAACAACUUUUCAAGACAUAGACAGUAUAAUAAGUUACAAAUAGAAAUGACAAAAAGCUAAAAAGUGGGGAGAUUAAGUUAAAGUAUAGAGUUUUUAUUAGUUUUCUUUUUGCUUGUUUAUUAGUUGGUUUAUGUAAUCAGUGUUAACCUGUCAUCAGUUUAAAAUAAUGGGUUAAACAUAUGAAUUUUGGGAAGACACAAAGAUUCAGAACAUAGCAGGUCUGUAUUCAAAUAGGCAGGAGAAGAGUGCUUUUAAAGGUAUUAAAAUAUAAAACUUUUUCAUUCCUUCUGAAGUUUCUCUCUUUCUCUCUGUCUCAACCUGUUAUGUUGUACCCCUUGGGCACAGGGAUACUCACAGUGUGAGCACAGAGGCUCUUAGGUGCCUGGGGGCUGGGGUGGGAAAGCAUGUCGUCCUGAUCUGUCUCAAAACAC